GUCCUCAUGGCCCUUAUGGGUAGGGCUUCACACGUCAUACAAUGGCUGGUACAAAGGGUUGCCAACCCGCGAGGGGGAGCUAAUCCCAUAAAGCCGAUCGUAGUCCGGAUCGCAGUCUGCAACUCGACUGCGUGAAGUCGGAAUCGCUAGUAAUCGCAAAUCAGAAUGUUGCGGUGAAUACGUUCCCGGGCCUUGUACACACCGCCCGUCACACCAUGGGAGUGGGUUGCAAAAGAAGUAGGUAGCUUAACCUUCGGGAGGGCGCUUACCACUUUGUGAU
Molecule: ribosomal RNA, 280 nt
Filed under: Enterococcus faecium
Lineage: Bacteria; Bacillati; Bacillota; Bacilli; Lactobacillales; Enterococcaceae
Description: partial 16S ribosomal RNA
Rfam family: Bacterial small subunit ribosomal RNA
Source: RNAcentral